GAGUUUGAUCGUGGCUCAGAUUGAACGCUGGCGGCAUGCCUUACACAUGCAAGUCGAACGGCAGCAUGAUCUAGCUUGCUAGAUUGAUGGCGAGUGGCGAACGGGUGAGUAAUACAUCGGAACGUGCCCUGUAGUGGGGAGUAACUAGUCGAAGAUUAGCUAAUACCGCAUACGACCUGAGGGUGGAAAGUAGGGGGACCGGCAAGGCCUCAUGCUAUAGGAGCGGCCGAUGUCUGAUUAGCUAGUUGGUGGGGU
RNAcentral lists this ribosomal RNA (255 nucleotides) under uncultured microorganism. RNAcentral's name for it is "partial 16S ribosomal RNA". It matches the Rfam family "Bacterial small subunit ribosomal RNA", at positions 9 to 258 of the family's 1533-position model. The record is from RNAcentral.